UACGUAGGUGGCAAGCGUUACUCGGAAUCACUAGGCGUAAAGCGCAGGUAGGCGGUUUGAUAAGUCUGUUGUGAAAGCUCCCGGCUUAACUGGGAGAGGUCAACGGAAACUGUCAGGCUAGAGUGUGGUAGAGGUAGCUGGAAUUCCCGGUGUAGCGGUGAAAUGCGCAGAUAUCAGGAGGAACACCGGUGGCGAAGGCGGAUCUCUGGGCCUUACCUGACGCUCAGGUGCGAAAGCUAGGGGGAGCGAACAGG
This 254-nucleotide ribosomal RNA is filed under the name uncultured bacterium. RNAcentral describes it as "partial 16S ribosomal RNA". It matches the Rfam family "Bacterial small subunit ribosomal RNA", at positions 524 to 776 of the family's 1533-position model. The record is from RNAcentral.